This 1091-nucleotide long non-coding RNA is filed under the name Vombatus ursinus (common wombat). Its description in RNAcentral is "lncRNA (ENSVURG00010002453.1)". Lineage: Eukaryota; Metazoa; Chordata; Mammalia; Diprotodontia; Vombatidae. The record is from RNAcentral.
CCUCAGAAGUGUCUGUUGAAAUUAACGCAUCCUGAAAUCCCAAAAAGGUUCCUUCUGCAUAGAAUAGAGUCAAGCUGGAAGAAUACUAUAUUUUACCAGAAAAGAGAUCAGGUUGCUAAAAGUGUUUUUUCUCUUGCGGUCCAAGUCAUCCAAUGGAUGGGCAUCUUCCCUCCUCCCAAAUUCCUAAGUAAUUCCCAGUGAUCACCUCUCUCCAGAAACCCACCAGUUCUGAGAGCUUUCGCUUUCUUGUCCUGUGGGGUACGUAUUAUCAGGGAGAAAGAGCAGUAUGGGGGGGGGGGGGAAACUAACCGAGAACUGAAAUCGCUGCCCUUUUCGCUCUGUCUUCUCAGGCGCCGCUCCAAGUUGGGUGCAGUGGGCGAGAGGGAAACCUGUUGCCUAGAAAGUGCUCCUCCGGCUGCGCUCUUGGGACCUUGGCACUUCUGGGCUCGUCAGGCCCCCUGCCGGACCAGUGACUGGCUCCACGCGAGGUGCCACAGCUUCCCGCGCUACACUGUCCUGAGGGUCACUGGAGAGGACUAGGUGGAGCGCGCUUGCUAGAAUGGGAAGGAAGGUGGCGUCUCUACAGCCCCACUAAUGACAAGAAGCCGAUCCCGGGCUAGUUUCUCCUCCACUUCCUUCCUAUCUUUUUUCUUUCUUUCUUUUUUUUGGCGGGGGGCUUCCCACUCACCCCCCAGAUCAGCAACUUAGCCUCCAGUUGAAGAGGAGGAAAAGAGAAGGACCCCACAAUGAUCCUAUUCCCACUGAGUCCUCUGCAAAUAGGUGAGAGGAGAGAGGAUGGCAGACUAGACGGUCGGGAGGAGGACCGAGUGUGACGAGGGCGGUGGAGGAGGCGUGUUUCUGUGGGUAUCUGAGCGAUGGUUUCCUUUCAGCACGCCCCGGCUCCUCUAGGGGUUGGUGGAGGCACGGUGGACUUUCCCAGGCCUCGUGGAAUCUCCGCGGCGCGGAGUGAGUGUUGGGCGUCCAGCUCAUUUCCCAGCAGCCAAAAAACCCACAGAGGUGCGAGUAGCCGCCGAGUGGAUGGUGACAGCAAAGAGCCAGCCCCUAGCAGGGACCUGCAGAGGGCACGGUAG